This 64-nucleotide transfer RNA is filed under the name Cysteochila chiniana. Its description in RNAcentral is "tRNA-Ile". The record is from RNAcentral. Lineage: Eukaryota; Metazoa; Arthropoda; Insecta; Hemiptera; Tingidae.
AAUAAGAUGCCUGACAAAAAGGAUUAUUUUGAUAGAAUAAAUUAUACAUUAUAUGUUCUUAUUA